UAGGGAAUCUUCGGCUAUGGGGGGAACCCUGACCGAGCAACGCCGCGUGAGUGAAGAAGGUUUUCGGAUCGUAAAGCUCUGUUGUUAAGGAAGAACGAGUGUGAGAAUGGAAAGUUCAUACUGUGACGGUACUUAACCAGAAAGGGACGGCUAACUACGUGCCAGCAGCCGCGGUAAUACGUAGGUCCCGAGCGUUGUCCGGAUUUAGUGGGCGUAAAGCGAGCGCAGGCGGUUAGAUAAGUCUGAAGUUAAAGGCAGUGGCUCAACCAUUGUAGGCUUUAGAAACUGUUUAACUUGAGUGCAGAAGGGGAGAGUGGAUUUCCAUGUGUAGCGGUGAAAUGCGUAGAUAUAUGGAGGAACACCGGUGGCGAAAGCGGCUCUCUGGUCUGUAACUGACGCUGAGGCUCGAAAGCGUGGGUAGCAAACAGG
This 429-nucleotide ribosomal RNA is filed under the name Bacteroidota bacterium. RNAcentral's name for it is "Bacteroidetes bacterium partial 16S ribosomal RNA". It matches the Rfam family "Bacterial small subunit ribosomal RNA", at positions 355 to 776 of the family's 1533-position model. The record is from RNAcentral. Lineage: Bacteria; Pseudomonadati; Bacteroidota.